This 550-nucleotide ribosomal RNA is filed under the name Streptomyces diastaticus. Its description in RNAcentral is "bacterial SSU rRNA". It matches the Rfam family "Bacterial small subunit ribosomal RNA", at positions 69 to 633 of the family's 1533-position model. The record is from RNAcentral. Lineage: Bacteria; Bacillati; Actinomycetota; Actinomycetes; Kitasatosporales; Streptomycetaceae.
AUGGUCCCCCUUCGGGUGGGGAUUAGUGGCGAACGGGUGAGUAACACGUGGGCAAUCUGCCCUGCACUCUGGGACAAGCCCUGGAAACGGGGUCUAAUACCGGAUACUGACCUGCCGAGGCAUCUUGGCGGGUCGAAAGCUCCGGCGGUGCAGGAUGAGCCCGCGGCCUAUCAGCUUGUUGGUGAGGUAAUGGCUCACCAAGGCGACGACGGGUAGCCGGCCUGAGAGGGCGACCGGCCACACUGGGACUGAGACACGGCCCAGACUCCUACGGGAGGCAGCAGUGGGGAAUAUUGCACAAUGGGCGCAAGCCUGAUGCAGCGACGCCGCGUGAGGGAUGACGGCCUUCGGGUUGUAAACCUCUUUCAGCAGGGAAGAAGCGAAAGUGACGGUACCUGCAGAAGAAGCGCCGGCUAACUACGUGCCAGCAGCCGCGGUAAUACGUAGGGCGCAAGCGUUGUCCGGAAUUAUUGGGCGUAAAGAGCUCGUAGGCGGCUUGUCACGUCGGUUGUGAAAGCCCGGGGCUUAACCCCGGGUCUGCAGUCGAUAC